AGUAGAAUGGCUGAGAAAUUGUAGGUGAAAGAUUGUAAAUCUUUUAAGGGGUUAAAACUCUUCUACUA
This 68-nucleotide transfer RNA is filed under the name Rhabdoblatta similsinuata. RNAcentral describes it as "tRNA-Tyr". The record is from RNAcentral. Lineage: Eukaryota; Metazoa; Arthropoda; Insecta; Blattodea; Blaberidae.